AACGAACGCUGGCGGCAGGCUUAACACAUGCAAGUCGAACGCCCCGCAAGGGGAGUGGCAGCCAGGUGAGUAACGCGUGGGAACAUACCCUUUUCUACGGAAUAGCUCUGGGAAACUGGAAUUAAUACCGUAUACGCCCUACGGGGGAAAGAUUUAUCGGGGAAGGAUUGGCCCGCGUUGGAUUAGCUAGUUGGUGGGGUAAAGGCCUACCAAGGCGACGAUCCAUAGCUGGUCUGAGAGGAUGAUCAGCCACAUUGGGACUGAGACACGGCCCAAACUCCUACGGGAGGCAGCAGUGGGGAAUAUUGGACAAUGGGCGCAAGCCUGAUCCAGCCAUGCCGCGUGAGUGAUGAAGGCCUUAGGGUUGUAAAGCUCUUUCACCGAUGAAGAUAAUGACGGUAGUCGGAGAAGAAGCCCCGGCUAACUUCGUG
This 431-nucleotide ribosomal RNA is filed under the name uncultured bacterium. RNAcentral describes it as "partial 16S ribosomal RNA". It matches the Rfam family "Bacterial small subunit ribosomal RNA", at positions 29 to 507 of the family's 1533-position model. The record is from RNAcentral.